AACUUUUUUAAUUGGGUCUGUGACAGUCUAUUACAAAAUCACAAUAUCACCAAAGUGUGUUGUGUCGAACAUUUCAAGCAACAUUCCCAGCUAAUGAGAAACCAGUCAUGGUGUUUAUUUAAGAGAAUGAACUCGAUUUAACAAGGCAACCUUGGGCUAAUUUGUAUGGGUGCCAAUGGCAGAUUUUGAGGGAUUUUUACAUCCGUACCCCAGCAGAGCGGCGUGUCCACUGAAACGUAAUUCCGUGAGGAACUACACUACAUUAUCAAAAAUAUGUGGACACCUGCUUGUCGAACAUCUCAUUCCAAAAUCAUGGGCAUUAAUAUGGAGUUGGUCUCCUCUUUGCUGCUAUAACAGAUUCCACUCUUCUGGGAAGACAUUUCACUAUCUGUUGGAACAUUGCUGCGGGGACUUGCUUCCAUUCAGCCACAAGAGCAUUAGUGAGGUUGGGCGAUUAGGCCUGGUUCGCAGUCAGCGUUCCAAUUCAUCCCAAAGUUGUUCGAUGGGGUUGAGGUCAGGGCUCUGUGCAGGCCAGUCAAGUUCUUCCACACCGAUCUCGACAAACCAUUUCUGUAAGGACCUCGCUUUGUGCAUGGGGCAUUAUCAUGCUAAAACAGGAAAGGGCAUCCCAAAACUGUUGCCACAAAGGUGGAAGCACAGAAUUGUCUACAAUGUCCGAACCAUGAAAAACAGCCCCAGACUAUUACUCCUCCUCCACCAAACUUCACAGUUGGCACUAUGCAUUCAGGCAGGUAGCGUUCUCCUGGCUUCCACCUAACCCAGAUUCAUCCCUCGGCCAUGGAAACACAUUUCAUGAAACUCUUGACGAGGUGUUUUUGUGCCGACGUUGCUUCCAGAGGCAGUUUGGAAUUCAGUAGUGAGUGUUACAACCGAGGACAGGCCAUUUUUAUACCCUUCAGCACUCGGCGGUCCCGUUCUGAGAGCUUGUGUGGCCUACCACUUCACAGCUGAGCCAUCGUUGCUCCUAGACUUUUCCACUUCACAAUAACAGCACUUACAGUUGACUGGGACAGCUCCAGCAGGGCAGAAAUGUGACAAACUGACUUGCUGGAAAGGUGCCAUCCUAUGACGGUGCCACGUUGAAAGUCACUGCUCUUCAGUAAUGCCAUUCUACUUCCAAUGUUUGUCUAUGGCGAUUGCAUGGCUGUGAGCUGGAAUUUAUACUCCUGUCAGCAACGGGUGUGGCUGAAAUAGUCAAAUCCACUAAUUUGAAGAGGUGUCCACAUACUUUUUAUAUAUAUAGUGUAUCAGUGUAAGUCCUGAUCGGGUCUCCUCCUUCAGAAACUGACCAGAAGGCGACCGCUGACCACACUGCAGCCCUAUUGGAAAAGAGUUUCAGUAACCCCGCCCCAAAAAAGGAGACCACCGUGCUAUUGGCUGAGACUCUGUCUCGACUCUGUAAGGAUAGGAGAAUGUCUUUUUAUUUUGGUUGUAACCAUCGUUGACCCCAAGUGGGAGAUGCCGAUAAUAGAUAUCAAGACAGAGGAUUGUGCCCAUUCCAUAUUUGUCUCAUUAUUUCUACUCUACACAUUUCUUGGACCCAUUGCAAUAGAAUUACACAUCAUUGACUUGAAUGGUGAUGCUUGCUCUAGUCAUUACAUUUCUAUGACUGACCCUGUGUUCCACUCCUUAGCUGGACUUGCUGUGGACCAGGAAGCAGAACGUCAUGUACAACCUGUUUGAUUGGCCAAAGAGGCGCCAUGUCCACCACCACACGAGGGCGCUGUUCUACUGGUCCUGACCAGGAUGUCGUUCCAUCCGUCCAGCUGCAGCAGAUCAUCAUGUCCAGAUUGAACAAGUUCAAGGCCUUUGAGGAGGAUGCUCUGCAGCUCAUCUCUAGAAAGGAUUGGUGGGUAUCAUGUGAUGGAGGCCCUGGAUGAGAAGUUCUCUUCCUCUUACAUCAAAGCCACCAGUUAAGAUAAACCCCACUGGCCCACAGAGCUGUCAAUUGGUUCCCAUUGGCCCAGAGAGCUGUCGAUCUAUGUGAAAUCGAUGUGUGUUCGGUGUGCAUUGGUGUAGGAGCAGCUCUUCCUGAGGGCGGUCAUCGCUGAGUUCAGGCGGCUGUGACUGGAGGCGGUCACCUUCCAACAGGUGUUAGUGCAGCACCAGGCGUUGUUUCGUGUGGGGUGCCUGCAGCCCAUCAGUGUGUCCAAGGGUCUGGCCGUGUGUCAGCACCCGAGGGCGUGCUGUCUGCUGCUGCUGGAGGCCAGCCAUCUAGACGUACUACAGAGGGUCAGACUGGACGUCAGCCAGGACGACGUGCUCUACGCACGCAAGGCCGACAGAGAGACCACCAGGGGUCCAAGGGUCUAGCCGUGUGUCAGCACCCGAGGGCGUGCUGUCUGCUGCUGCUGGAGGCCAGCCAUCUAGACAUACUACAGAGGGUCAGACUGGACGUCAGCCAGGACGACGUGCUCUACGCACGCAAGGCCGACAGAGAGACCACCAGGGGUCCAAGGGUCUAGCCGUGUGUCAGCACCCGAGGGCGUGCUGUCUGCUGCUGCUGGAGGCCAGCCAUCUAGACGUACUACAGAGGGUCAGACUGGACAUCAGCCAGGACGACGUGCUCUACGCACGCAAGGCCGACAGAGAGACCACCAGGGGUCCAGGCAGGGGUCCACCCUGUGUUUUCUGACCAGGUUGGUCCUAACAUAACAACAACAAAACAUCUCAGUUCAGGAAAGCUGCAGUAUCACCAGGUUUCAGUUGCAGUCAAGCAUUAAACUGUAAGUAUAUCAGUUCCUGAGCCAGAUAGGGAAACGAAACUGGCUCUAUCAGCACUAUCUCUGUCAAUUGAUCAAUGUACUGUUUUGUGAGAACCAAGAUCCCUCUCUCACACUGAAACUCUCCAUGUCAACCGUUGGACCACAUAGUCCCAUGCCUGCCCUUGACCACAGCCAAUACUACCGUACCACUCAGGACUGGGAACAUGAAUCCCACAGACACCCCUUACUGUGUCAAUGAAUCUGACCAUACUGUAUAUACAAGGUGAUAUGGCGGCUCUUUUAGAGGCUCACAGUUUGGUUUGAUGCUGUCUUCUGAGAGGCAGAGGCAGUUUUUUUUAGGACAAGGAUCCUCUGUUUUUAAUAUUUAUUUUACGAAUGCUUUUCAAU
Oncorhynchus nerka (sockeye salmon) is the source of this 3134-nucleotide long non-coding RNA. RefSeq lists it as uncharacterized. The record is from RefSeq and is a predicted model, not a curated record. NCBI's taxonomy places the organism in Eukaryota, Metazoa, Chordata, Actinopteri, Salmoniformes, Salmonidae. The transcript is spliced from 4 exons.